UACGGGGGGGGCAAGCGUUGUUCGGAAUUACUGGGCGUAAAGGGCUCGUAGGCGGCCAAUUAAGUCCGACGUGAAAUCCCCAGGCUUAACCUGGGAACUGCGUCGGAUACUGGAUGGCUUGAAUUCGGGAGAGGGAUGCAGAAUUCCAGGUGUAGCGGUGAAAUGCGUAGAUAUCUGGAGGAAUACCGGUGGCGAAGGCGGCAUCCUGGACCGGCAUUGACGCUGAUGAGCGAAAGCUAGGGGAGCAAACGGG
Molecule: ribosomal RNA, 253 nt
Filed under: uncultured bacterium
Lineage: Bacteria
Description: partial 16S ribosomal RNA
Rfam family: Bacterial small subunit ribosomal RNA
Source: RNAcentral